This 207-nucleotide ribosomal RNA is filed under the name uncultured bacterium. RNAcentral describes it as "partial 16S ribosomal RNA". It matches the Rfam family "Bacterial small subunit ribosomal RNA", at positions 568 to 774 of the family's 1533-position model. The record is from RNAcentral.
CGCGUAGGUGGUUUGUUAAGUUGGAUGUGAAAGCCCCGGGCUCAACCUGGGAACUGCAUCCAAAACUGGCAAGCUAGAGUAUGGUAGAGGGUGGUGGAAUUUCCUGUGUAGCGGUGAAAUGCGUAGAUAUAGGAAGGAACACCAGUGGCGAAGGCGACCACCUGGACUGAUACUGACACUGAGGAGCGAAAGCGUGGGGAGCGAACA